Molecule: unclassified non-coding RNA, 241 nt
Filed under: Hevea brasiliensis (rubber tree)
Lineage: Eukaryota; Viridiplantae; Streptophyta; Magnoliopsida; Malpighiales; Euphorbiaceae
Source: RNAcentral
GGAGUUUUUGCGGAACUCAGUGGAUACAACUGACUCGAUUUGCCUCCUUUCUUCAGCAGGCUUGGAGCGGGCUGCUCUUAAGAAUCCUCUAUAUAGAGCAAGUGCUUGCUUCUGCAUACCAGAUAGCCGCUUUGGUCCACUGGAAGCUCCCAUUGCAUCUUCAGGACGAGCAGGGACAGAUACCCGAUUAAACACUUGCGGAUUCCUUUGUGUAUUGCGCCGUCGUUGAGGUAGAAAUUCC